Molecule: non-coding RNA, 731 nt
Organism: Paramuricea clavata
Lineage: Eukaryota; Metazoa; Cnidaria; Anthozoa; Malacalcyonacea; Plexauridae
Source: the annotation of a GenBank genome assembly
GAUGGUUUAUGUGUUGUCUUGAGGAGAUUGGCCUACCCUUGUAGGUGCACCGAUAUGGCACCUCGAUUUGGGCGAAGUACACUUGAGUUGUGUCUCAUUUUCAAUAAAGUAAUAGAUACCAUCUACGAGACUCACCACCAUCGCCUUGAGAGUUGGGACCAGUCUUUCCUAGCUCCAGAGCAAUUGAACAAUUAUGCACUAGUAGUCACACUGACGUGAUGCCCCUAGUCUGCAAAAUUGUUUUGGGAUUGUGGAUGGGACAGUACGAAGAAUAGCUCGACCAAAGUAUACUGAUCAUACUGAUGUAUAAUGGUCAUAAGCGAGUACAUGCCAUCAAGUACACGCCAUCGACUCGAGUACAUGCCAUCCAUAACAAAUACAAAUAUUGAAUAUUUAAAUUAAUACAAUAAUUCAUAAUAUAUAUUAUAUACAUAUGUAUCAUAUUUACAAAUAUAGCGUGUCAACUCUUCCCCACUAAUUCCUGUCGCUCUUUCCUCUUAUACCAUUUUGUUUUUGUGCUUUCUCUCGAGGACCCCAUAAUGGUCCCUCACAGCCCGAGCUGUUACUUCAAUCCCUGGGAAGCUUGGUUGCAAUUUUUUGGCAAUGAUAAGCCAGCCAGCUGCCAGCACCCCUCUCCCUUGACUUUAAUUUGUGAUGUAGCACGCCCUCUGCUGCCAGCUCUGGGCAGCAUUAGGUCAUUUGUCUCAUUCUGAUUCCAGCUCAGAGCAGAC